This 481-nucleotide small RNA is filed under the name uncultured Glomus. Its description in RNAcentral is "SSU rRNA". It matches the Rfam family "Eukaryotic small subunit ribosomal RNA", at positions 569 to 1054 of the family's 1831-position model. Lineage: Eukaryota; Fungi; Glomeromycota; Glomeromycetes; Glomerales; Glomeraceae. The record is from RNAcentral.
AGCAGCCGCGGUAAUUCCAGCUCCAAUAGCGUAUAUUAAAGUUGUUGCAGUUAAAAAGCUCGUAGUUGAAUUUCGGGGUUAGUAGGUUGGUCAUGCCUCUGGUAUGUACUGGUCUCACUGAUUCCUCCUUCCUGAUGAACCGUAAUGCCAUUAAUUUGGUGUUGCGGGGAAUUUGGACUGUUACUUUGAAAAAAUUAGAGUGUUUAAAGCAAGCUAACGCUUGAAUACAUUAGCAUGGAAUAAUGAAAUAGGACGUUCGAUCCUAUUUUGUUGGUUUCUAGGAUUGACGUAAUGAUUAAUAGGGAUAGUUGGGGGCAUUAGUAUUCAAUUGUCAGAGGUGAAAUUCUUGGAUUUAUUGAAGACUAACUACUGCGAAAGCAUUUGCCAAGGAUGUUUUCAUUAAUCAAGAACGAAAGUUAGGGGAUCGAAGACGAUCAGAUACCGUCGUAGUCUUAACCAUAAACUAUGCCGACUAGGGAUC